RNAcentral lists this ribosomal RNA (374 nucleotides) under uncultured organism. Its description in RNAcentral is "partial 16S ribosomal RNA". It matches the Rfam family "Bacterial small subunit ribosomal RNA", at positions 527 to 896 of the family's 1533-position model. The record is from RNAcentral.
GGGGGGUGCAAGCGUUAUUCGGAAUCACUGGGCGUAAAGAGCGCGUAGGCGGUUUCUUAAGUCAGAUGUGAAAGCCCGGGGCUUAACCCCGGAAGUGCAUUCGAAACGGAGGGACUUGAGUAUGGGAGAGGGAAGUGGAAUUCCUGGUGUAGCGGUGAAAUGCGUAGAUAUCAGGAGGAACACCGGUGGCGAUGGCGACUUCCUGGACCAAUACUGACGCUGAGGCGCGAAGGCGUGGGGAGCAAACAGGAUUAGAUACCCUGGUAGUCCACGCAGUAAACGUUGAACACUAGGUGUAGCGGGUAUUGACCCCCCUGCUGUGCCGCAGCUAACGCAUUAAGUGUUCCGCCUGGGGGAGUACGGCCGCAAGGCUA